Molecule: microRNA precursor, 111 nt
Organism: Chlorocebus sabaeus (green monkey)
Lineage: Eukaryota; Metazoa; Chordata; Mammalia; Primates; Cercopithecidae
Source: Ensembl
UGAUGAGCGCGACUGCCCAGGUGGGCAGGGGCAGGUGUGUGGUGGGCGGUGGCCUGCGGUGAGCAGGGCCUUCACACCUGCCUCGCCCCCCAGGUGUGAAACGCCCCAGAU